CUUCUUCCUCCUCUUCCUCCUCUCUUCCCUCUCUUUUCCAGGAUUUGGGGUCCAACCUGUACUCCUGCUACUCUUCCUCUUCCUCUUCUUCCCCCUCCCCUCAUUUUUUGGGGGAAAUUAUCAGGAUUUUGGGUGGAUUCCUCCAAUGGAGAGACCAGAAAUGGAGAGGACAUUCCAGGUUGGAUCCAUCCCAUGGAUCCGCAGCCUCCUCCUCCUAUUUUCCGUCGUUUUUCCAGGAUUUUGUGUCCAGCCUCUACUCUGGCUGCCCUUCCUCCUCUCCCCCUGUCUCCUCCUCCUCCUCCUCUUCCCUUAUCUUUUUAGGAAAAUAUUCAGGAUUUUGGGUGGGUUCCUCCAACAAAGAGGCUGAAAACAGAGCUCUCAUUCCUCUUCCUCCUCUUCCUCCUCUUCCUCCUCUUCCUCCUCUUCCUGCUCUUCCUCCUCCUCUUCUUCCUGUUCUUGUUCUUGUUCGUGUUCCUGUUCCUCUUCCUCUCCCCUCAUAUUUUAGGGAAAAUUUCCAGGAUUUUGACUGGGUUCCUGCAAUGGAAGGUUCUACUCCGGCUGCUCUUCCUCUCCCAUCUCCUCCUCCUCCUCCUCCUCCUCCUCCUCUUCAUCUUCCUCUUCCUCUUCCCUCUUUUUUUAGGGGAAAUUUUCCAGGAUUUUGGGUGGAUUCCUCCAAUGGAGAGGCCAGAACUGGACCUGCAAUUCCUCCUCUUCCUCCUCACUUUUCCAUGAAACCGCUGGGAUUUUGGGUCCAACUUCUACUCCCACUGCUCUUCCUCUUCCUCUUCCUCUUCCUCUUCCUCUUCCUCUUCCUCUUCCUCUUCCUCUUCCUCUUCUUCCCUCAUUUUUUAGGGAAAAUUUCAGGGGUAUUGGGUGGAUUCCUCCAAUGGAGAGGCCAUUCUUGGUUGGAUCCAUCUUGGAACCUGCUACUCCUCCUCUUCCUCUUCCUCCUCUUCUUCCUCACUUUUCAGCGAAACCCACCAGGAUUUGGGGUCCAACCUCUACUCCUGCUGCUCUUCCUCUUCCUCCUCCUCUUCCCUCUUUUUUAGGGGAAAAUUUCCGGGAUUUUGGGUGGGUUCCUCCAAUGGAGAGGCUGAAAAUGGAGCUGCCCUUCCUCCUCCUCUCUUCCCUGAUUUUCCAGGAUUUUGUCUCCAACCUCUACUCCUGCUGGUCUUCCUCUUCCUCUUCCUCUUCCUCUUCCUCUUCCUCUUCCUCUUCCUCUUCCUCUUCCUCUUCCUCUUCCCUCCAUUUUUGGGAACACCGAUGGGAUUUUGGGUGGGUUCCUCCAAGGAAGAGGCUGAAAAUGGAGCUGCCCUUCCUCUUCCUCUUCCUCUUCCUCUUCCUCUUCCUCUUCCUCUUCCUCUUCCUCUUCCUCUUCCUC
RNAcentral lists this long non-coding RNA (1381 nucleotides) under Zonotrichia albicollis (white-throated sparrow). Its description in RNAcentral is "lncRNA (ENSZALG00000000213.1)". Lineage: Eukaryota; Metazoa; Chordata; Aves; Passeriformes; Passerellidae. The record is from RNAcentral.